UACGUAGGGUGCGAGCGUUAAUCGGAAUUACUGGGCGUAAAGCGUGCGCAGGCGGCGCGUUAAGACAGGUGUGAAAGCCCCGAGCUUAACUUGGGAAUUGCGCUUGUGACUGGCGAGCUGGAGUGUGGCAGAGGGAGGUGGAAUUCCACGUGUAGCAGUGAAAUGCGUAGAGAUGUGGAGGAACACCGAUGGCGAAGGCAGCCUCCUGGGCCAGCACUGACGCUCAUGCACGAAAGCGUGGGGAGCAAACAGG
Molecule: ribosomal RNA, 253 nt
Filed under: uncultured bacterium
Lineage: Bacteria
Also listed under: 1 other name
Description: partial 16S ribosomal RNA
Rfam family: Bacterial small subunit ribosomal RNA
Source: RNAcentral